This 461-nucleotide ribosomal RNA is filed under the name uncultured bacterium. Its description in RNAcentral is "SSU rRNA". It matches the Rfam family "Bacterial small subunit ribosomal RNA", at positions 26 to 518 of the family's 1533-position model. The record is from RNAcentral.
AGAACGAACGCUGGCGGCAGGCUUAACACAUGCAAGUCGAGCGAGGACUUCGGUCCUAGCGGCGGACGGGUUAGUAACGCGUGGGAACGUGCCCCUUUCUUCGGAAUAGCCUCGGGAAACUGGGAGUAAUGCCGGAUACGCCGGAUCACUGAGAGGUGGUCUGGGAAAGAUUUAUCGGAGAGGGAUCGGCCCGCGUUGGAUUAGGUAGUUGGUGGGGUAAUGGCCUACCAAGCCGACGAUCCAUAGCUGGUUUGAGAGGAUGAUCAGCAACACUGGGACUGAGACACGGCCCAGACUCCUACGGGAGGCAGCAGUGGGGAAUCUUGGACAAUGGGGGCAACCCUGAUCCAGCCAUGCCGCGUGAGCGAUGAAGGCCUUAGGGUUGUAAAGCUCUUUCAGCGGGAAGAUAAUGACGGUACCCGCAGAAGAAGCCCCGGCUAACCUCCGUCGCCAGCAGCCGC